UCCUGCCGCAAAGGUUGGGUUGAUGACCGUU
Molecule: non-coding RNA, 31 nt
Filed under: Rattus norvegicus (Norway rat)
Lineage: Eukaryota; Metazoa; Chordata; Mammalia; Rodentia; Muridae
Source: RNAcentral